RNAcentral lists this ribosomal RNA (157 nucleotides) under Thiomicrospira sp. ALE5. Its description in RNAcentral is "partial 16S rRNA. Bacterial SSU". It matches the Rfam family "Bacterial small subunit ribosomal RNA", at positions 19 to 173 of the family's 1533-position model. Lineage: Bacteria; Pseudomonadati; Pseudomonadota; Gammaproteobacteria; Thiotrichales; Piscirickettsiaceae. The record is from RNAcentral.
CUGGCUCAGAAUGAACGCUGGCGGCAGGCCUAACACAUGCAAGUCGAACGGUAACAGAAGAGCUUGCUCUUGCUGACGAGUGGCGGACGGGUGAGUAAUGCAUGGGAAUCUGCCCUUUGGUUGGGGAUACCGUAUGGAAACGUACGUUAAUACCGAA